CCUUAUGAUGAUACAAGGCCAGGAGGCCUAUAAUCCCAGCUCGUCGAAUGCCUCACUUUAAACGCAGAGAGCAUUAUGAGAUACGAAACACGUUCUGAUCU
Molecule: small nucleolar RNA, 101 nt
Filed under: Phialocephala subalpina
Lineage: Eukaryota; Fungi; Ascomycota; Leotiomycetes; Helotiales; Mollisiaceae
Description: A. fumigatus snoRNA Afu_304
Rfam family: A. fumigatus snoRNA Afu_304
Source: Rfam by way of RNAcentral